This 107-nucleotide small RNA is filed under the name Marmota monax (woodchuck). Lineage: Eukaryota; Metazoa; Chordata; Mammalia; Rodentia; Sciuridae. The record is from RNAcentral.
GUUGGGCAUGGAGGUGCAUGCCUGUAAUCCUUGAUACUCAGGAGGCUGAGUUAGGAGGUUCAAAAGUUCAAGGCUAGCCUGAGCAAUUUAGUGAGACCUUGUCUCAG